This 18-nucleotide small RNA is filed under the name Arabidopsis thaliana (thale cress). RNAcentral describes it as "ATSL250330". The record is from RNAcentral. Lineage: Eukaryota; Viridiplantae; Streptophyta; Magnoliopsida; Brassicales; Brassicaceae.
CUUAUGUUUAUUUCUUUU